CCUACGGGGGGCAGCAGUGAGGAAUAUUGGUCAAUGGGCGCGAGCCUGAACCAGCCACGUAGCGUGAAGGAUGACUGCCCUACGGGUUGUAAACUUCUUUUAUAAAGGAAUACAGUGAGGCACGUGUGCCUUUUUGUCUGUACUUUAUGAAUAAGGAUCGGCUAACUCCGUGCCAGCAGCCGCGGUAAUACGGAGGAUCCGAGCGUUAUCCGGAUUUAUUGGGUUUAAAGGGAGCGUAGAUGGGUUGUUAAGUCAGUUGUGAAAGUUGGCGGCUCAACCGUAAAAUUGCAAUUGAUACUGGCAGCCUUGAGUACAGGUGAGGUAGGCGGAAUUCGUGGUGUAGCGGUGAAAUGCUUAGAUAUCACGAAGAACUCCGAUGGCGAAGGCAGCUUACUAAACUGCCACUGACAUUGAUGCUCGAAAGUGUGGGUAUCAAACAGGAUUAGAUACCCUGGUAGUC
This 460-nucleotide ribosomal RNA is filed under the name uncultured bacterium. RNAcentral's name for it is "partial 16S ribosomal RNA". It matches the Rfam family "Bacterial small subunit ribosomal RNA", at positions 338 to 795 of the family's 1533-position model. The record is from RNAcentral.